Molecule: small RNA, 467 nt
Filed under: Pan troglodytes (chimpanzee)
Lineage: Eukaryota; Metazoa; Chordata; Mammalia; Primates; Hominidae
Description: retained intron
Source: RNAcentral
AUUAUCUGGGACAGAAGAACCAGGUUUGGCUCAACAGAUUUCUCUUUCCACCCAUCUAUUGCAGGUGUAGUGGUCUUGCUGCUUCUCCAGGGAGGAUCUGCCUACAAACUGGUUUGCUACUUUACCAACUGGUCCCAGGACCGGCAGGAACCAGGAAAAUUCACCCCUGAGAAUAUUGACCCCUUCCUAUGCUCUCAUCUCAUCUAUUCAUUCGCCAGCAUCGAAAACAACAAGGUUAUCAUCAAGGACAAGAGUGAAGUGAUGCUCUAUCAGACCAUCAACAGUCUCAAAACCAAGUCAGUAAGAUGGGGGUGGAAGCAUCCUGCAUGGGUUUUAGAGAAGGGAAGCUGGUCUUAAGCUGAGCCUAAGACAUACUAUCUCAUUCAUUCAUUCAUUCCUAUGUAUUUCUCUGGGUGUAUUUCUGAUCCUAACUGUUCUCACCAGUGCUUCAUCCCUUCACUGAACUU